RNAcentral lists this ribosomal RNA (372 nucleotides) under uncultured organism. RNAcentral describes it as "bacterial SSU rRNA". It matches the Rfam family "Bacterial small subunit ribosomal RNA", at positions 526 to 896 of the family's 1533-position model. The record is from RNAcentral.
CGUAGGGUGCGAGCGUUAAUCGGAAUUACUGGGCGUAAAGUGUGCGCAGGCGGCCGAGCAAGUCGAGUGUGAAAGCCCCGGGCUUAACUUGGGAAUUGCGCUCGAAACUACUUGGCUGGAGUGUGGCAGAGGAAGGUGGAAUUCCAGGUGUAGCGGUGAAAUGCGUAGAGAUCUGGAGGAACACCGAUGGCGAAGGCAGCCUUCUGGGCCAACACUGACGCUCAUGCACGAAAGCGUGGGGAGCAAACAGGAUUAGAUACCCUGGUAGUCCACGCCCUAAACGAUGAUGACUAGUUGUUGGGGGAGUUAAAUCCCUUAGUAACGCAGCUAACGCGUGAAGUCAUCCGCCUGGGGAGUACGGUCGCAAGAUUA